UUGACCUCGGAUCAGGUAGGAGUUACCCGCUGAACUUAAGCAUAUCAAUAAGCGGAGGAAAAGAAACCAACCGGGAUUGCCUCAGUAACGGCGAGUGAAGCGGCAAGAGCUCAAAUUUGAAAUCUGGCCCCUUUGGGGUCCGAGUUGUAAUUUGCAGAGGAUGCUUCGGGUGCGGUCCCCGUCUAAGUGCCCUGGAACGGGCCGUCAUAGAGGGUGAGAAUCCCGUCUGGGAUGGGCGGCCGCGCCCGUGUGAAGCUCCUUCGACGAGUCGAGUUGUUUGGGAAUGCAGCUCUAAGCGGGUGGUAAAUUUCAUCUAAAGCUAAAUACUGGCCGGAGACCGAUAGCGCACAAGUAGAGUGAUCGAAAGAUGAAAAGCACUUUGAAAAGAGAGUUAAACAGCACGUGAAAUUGUUGAAAGGGAAGCGUUGUCCACCAGACUCGCCCGGGGGGGUUCAGCCGGCACCUGUGCCGGUGUACUCCUCUCCGGGCGGGCCAGCAUCGGUUUGGGCGGCUGGUGAAAGGCCCCGGGAAUGUACCACCCUCCGGGGUGCCUUAUAGCCCGGGGUGCCAUGCAGCCAGCCUGGACCGAGGCCCGCGCUUCGGCAGAUGCGGC
Molecule: ribosomal RNA, 613 nt
Filed under: Talaromyces pinophilus
Lineage: Eukaryota; Fungi; Ascomycota; Eurotiomycetes; Eurotiales; Trichocomaceae
Description: eukaryotic LSU rRNA
Rfam family: Eukaryotic large subunit ribosomal RNA
Source: RNAcentral